UCCUCCUUAGCUCAGUUGGUUAGAGCAUCUGACUGUUAAUCAGAGGGUCCAAGGUUCGAGUCCUUGAGGGGGA
This 73-nucleotide transfer RNA is filed under the name Bacteroidota bacterium. RNAcentral describes it as "Bacteroidetes bacterium (marine metagenome) tRNA-Asn". It matches the Rfam family "tRNA". From Rfam's summary of the family: Transfer RNA (tRNA) molecules are approximately 80 nucleotides in length. The record is from RNAcentral. Lineage: Bacteria; Pseudomonadati; Bacteroidota.